This is an RNA transcript of Cloeon dipterum, 7066 nucleotides long. RefSeq lists it as uncharacterized. The transcript is spliced from 10 exons. The record is from RefSeq and is a predicted model, not a curated record. Lineage: Eukaryota; Metazoa; Arthropoda; Insecta; Ephemeroptera; Baetidae.
UACACUUGGUAACGAGCGGCGAAUGACUGGAUGAUUUUUCUCGCUGAUGUACUUACAUCUAUAAACCAGCAGGCAGCCUCGUCCAAAUCUGGCCACACGAUCCAGUAUGGAAGGUCGUCCUUGCAUGCAAACUGCACCCACGCCAUGAACCCUGAAACCAGAAUAGAGGCACCCCUAGAGCUUACAAUGCGUACUGCAGGAAACUGCGCAUUGUUGAGGACUGAUCGCGCAGCAUUGAGUUCCAGGAUCUUAAAAAUAAAUAGUUAUAGAUGCAAUUCAGGUUUAAUUUAACGAGAAGUGAAGAGAUUUCGCAUUUGAAAAUUGAUUACCUUGUUAUGCUGUUGUGUUUUAACUUCCGUAUUUGAUUUCAGUCAGAACAUCUUAUUUAGAGCAUUGAAAAUUGGCAGUUUAGAACCAAAAUUAUUAUUUAUUUAUGGAACAACAUAUGUGUGGGUGUUUUUAUAAUAGAUUUGAUAUAUAGUCUGAAAUUUUAAAAUUUAGGCUAGAACACCGUCCUGAUUUUUUUGGUUGUUGUUUUUUGGUGCUAUAGAAGUGUCAAAGUAAUCAGGUUUGCCUGGAAAAAUUUAUAAAGUGAGGAAAUAAAAAUUGCACGAUCGGUCAAUUUUGACCGGUGAGAUAUGCUAGGAGUCAAGAGGUCAUAUAAGACAGAUACAGUAUGUUUCGGUAUAAAACCCUUAUCAGCUAGCUUUAGUGCAAACGUAUUAAUACAUAAUAUAUCGAAACAAUUAAAUUUGAUGCGCGCCAUCUCCAAGACCGGCAGCUUGCAUCGGACAAAACGCCAGGCAUUCAUGCAUUCUUGUCUAAUUGUAAGAUCUGUAUAUAUUUUGAAAUCAUGCGCAAUAUUCCUGAACCAAUUUUGACUAUGUGAGAAAUAAGAUAAAUCGGAUGCCAGGCGUUUUUGUUCAACACAAGCUGCUGGCUUAAAAUCCUGGUUAUAACCACUAGCUAUAGUUAUAGUGACGGACGGAGAUGAGUGCGUCUGCACGAAAUUCUAUCUCGUACAGGUUUGUUGCCAGCUAAGCAAUUUUGGGACAUGGGUGAUGGGAUAUCUUCACAGGCCAGGACUGGUAAUCGGGCGCACCGAGCGAAACCCCGGUGGGCCGCGGCCCAAGUGGGCCGCCCGGACCGCCCAAUAAUGCUAAGACUUGCCUGUCAAGGUGUCAAGCGGCCCGCGUUUGUGGCUGUCGCGGCCCAUAUUUUUUAGUUUCAAAGUAAUCUUUAUUAUGGUUCUGCAGGGCUAUUUUGCCCCAUACAUUGCCAUAUCCAGACAAAAUAAUGUCAGUUUGAACAUAAUUGUUUACAAGAGAGGUGAUUCAAUAUUUUUUGAGGUACUUUUAGUGGCUUUUCUGUGUUGAGACUGGGGCUGGAGGCAACACAAGCUCUUAUAAUUCAAUUCUUUGUUUUGGCUAAAAUUAUUUCAUAAUCAAAGGAAAAAAAUUAAAAAAAAAUCGAAAAAUAAAGGCUUUUUGGCCGUUUGGCCCGCGCAUCCUCAUCAUUGAAUUCAUAUUAUGAUAUUUUUGUUGAGGAAUGAGUAUACGGGAAAAACCAAUGCCAUCAUAUCCUUCAUUUUUCCGUCUUUCCAUAUAAUGGAAAAUAAAUAAAACUGAGAACUUGAUCAGGUACUAGUGAUCGGCGCCCCCCCCCCCCCCCUUCGAGAUGACAAAAUUCACUUUGCGCUUUGUGUGUUUGAAACUAGCGGAAAAUAUUGAAUACAUUAUUUGGACUACAUUUUUACUAGACUUUGAUACAAAAAGGCCAAUAAACGGCCCAAGUAUCUGAAGCUUCUUUUUCCAUUUUCGAAUUUUUGACCGGCGGCUGGCGUGCCUGGUGAGCUAAAAUCAAAGCGGCUGGCCAAAAUUUUGCGAGCCUGGCUGAUGUGAGUGCUCUAGCAUACAUUUCUAUUUUUAUUUCAAAUUCGAAUAUUUAAACAAUAUUCAAGAAAAAAAAUGUAUGUCUUACUGAUUCGUUCAAAAGGUAAAAUAGGUUGGAUUAAUCUGACAAAAAUUUGAUGAAAAAUAUUUAUUGCUCUGAAUAACCUCUGACAAGAGUGAAUUUUGAGCAAUACACCUAGAUUUUAGCAACGCAACCUUACUCAAAUAUCAGAUUUUUCCAAAUUAAGGCCAGAAUAGGUCGAUUAUUGAUUAAUUUAACGUUACUCUUCAGGCUGUCGGGGCCACGCGGUGUAACUCGAUCGAAUCGGCUGGCGCCACGUUGGGGCAGCAGGAAAUAUAUCUAAAAUUGGGCAGCCAGUAUUAGACACCCGAAAUAAACGAGCCUUGCGCGGAGGGCUUGUUUAAGGGUCCGUUUCAGCGUCGCUCCAAGCGGCGCGCGGUCAUGACGGCGGCAUCUCCCUUUAUACGUACACAAGCGGGGUCCAGAUUCGUGCGAUGCGCAGAUAUGGCGUAUAGUGGAGUAUGGCGCGAAUUAACGGUCACGUGCCACGUGAAAGUGCGCGAAAAGAACCAAGUUUUUGUAAAUAUUGUGACAUAAUAUGCAUUACUUGUACUAAUUGUGUCUUUUAGAUAAGUUUAAAAACAAACACUUGACACUCAUACGGGAAUCCAAAGAGAGCUUUUUGUUUCCCAUAUUCACACGCCAUCUUGGCCCCCGCUGAUACACACUCCCUCUCUUUACACACACUUCCCUUGGUAGCUCUAGGUUGCUCGUGCACCCCGUUUGAAUUUUUUACGCCACCUUUGAAGUUUGAAGUCAAUUCAAUAACCCGUUUGCAAACUGCUCCUGGUGGCCACUCGCGGUUCCACACCCCGUUUGGCAUUCAACACUGCCCUUGGUCGAAUCUCUGUUUAACACUUCCCUGGUUAAGACACGUUGAUCAACACUCUCUGAGGUUUGCGGAAUUUUACACCACCCCAGGAGACCUCCAGGGAAACAAAAAUGGUUUUAAAAAUAAAUUCGUCAACCUUUCUAUCAUCAAAAAUCUACGUUUCCAAAACUUUGUACGUUUUUUAUUACAUUAUUUCUUAUUAAAUUUAAAAAAUCCGGAUGGUGCUCAAACAAAAGUUUUAAUAACUUCAAACCAUAAUAUCAGAUCUAAAAAACCCGUGUCUUUUUUUAGGGGAAAAAUCUCAAAUCUGUAGGGUUUUAGGAAUUUUUAGAAUCUGCUACCUUGUUAAAAAUAAAGAGUGUAAGAAAAGUAGCUUUUUAUAUAUUUUAUAAUUUACUUAUGCUAUUUUAGCAAGUAUAAAUGAAUUUUCGCUUUAAAUAGUGCAAUCAAAUAGGUAAUUAAAUCGAAGGAAACCCAAUAGAUGCCAAGCAAAAUUGAUCAUUGCACAUGCACAAGUAUUGAGUUUAAUUUAAUAUUGGUUUUAAUUCGAUUUAAUUACUAUAUACCAUAUCAUAUGUAUGUAAUGGUCAAUCGGAUCACGGCCGGACUGCCAAACUUUUCAAGAGUCUUCUAUAAACUUUAAAAAAAUGCAAUCUCCACACUUUAGAAAAGCCAAUGAUGUAAACAUAUUCUGGAAAUCUAAAGUUUUAUAUUUUUCAGCUGCGGGUUUCUUGAAACAUCCUGGAUUGCCGGCUUCGUCGCUGAAUGAGUGCUGUACAAUGCCCCUCCGACGACGCUACCCCCUGCUAGCGGAGAAAAUCAAGCUAUCGAAGGUCACCCGCUUCAGGCAGCUGCAACCCCAUUCAAAAGUAAACAGGGCUCGUCGGGUUAUCUUUUUGGCUGAUGUACACACAUCUAAACCAGCAGGCAGCUUCGUCCAAAUCUGGCCACACGAUCCAGUAUGGAAGGUCGUCCUCGGACGCGAACUGCACCCACGCCAUGAAACCUGAAACAAGAGCAGGCACCCCCAGAGCAUAUAAUGCGUACAGCGGAAAACUGCUUGUUGAGAGAGACAGGCCACUCAGCAUCGAGUUCCAUGAUCUGAAAAAUUCAAUUGAAUUAGGAUAUAUCUAGCUUGCAGCAAAGAACAAUCAGAUAAGUAUUUAUAUCCCAGGUAUUGUGUUGCUUUGUUUAAAAGUUAUCUUUCCUCGUGUUUUCAGAUUAUCCAACCUGCAUUCAGUUUCAAACCCUGGCUUUACCUAUAAUUAGAAAAUUAUUGAAAACUGAGGUUGUGCAAAACUGUUAAAAAUUAAAAAAACCUCUUUACUUAUUUUUUUGUUAAUUCGUUUUUUUUGCAACCCUGAAAUUUGUGGAAUUCUUGCGCAUUCUGUAAAAGUUGGCAGAAAAUAUAUGGUUGAAUUUAGCAGCGAAAAAUUAUCUCUAGAUAAAAAGGCAACUGACAAGUAUGAUCGAUAUUUUAAUUCUUUUGUCCUUCAAAUUUCAGAUCCACUGGCUCAGUAUUUUCAACAGUUUCAUGAUGGUCAUUCCCUUGUUGGCCUGGUGAGAACGCUGAGGAAAGACUACGCAAGAUACAGCAAAGAUGAAGAAAUGGAUCGCGAUUUUGGAUUUCGGCGACGAGUACGUUUGGAAGCAGGUUCACGGUGAUGUGUUCAGGACCGCCUCGCAGCCCUGACAGGAACGGGCCAUCAGGUCGUCACGGUUUCCUUCUGCGUCAUAAUCUUCGCCAUUCUGAGAGAGCUCUACACCGAACGAGGCUCUCUGCUGAUGAGCACGGCCAUCUUUGUUCACGCUGCGACCUGUACGCCUGGAGCAAGGUGUGGAUUGCUGUCCGAUGGCCUUCCUGCUGCCGGCGACGGUGUGCGGAACCGCUGUCCUCAUCAACUUCAUCACCUUUUACUACCACGCCAUUCAGUUUGGCACCAUGGUGGCUGUGACCUGCAUCUGCCUGUUUGUCAUCCUGCCGCUGACCCUGCUUAACAGCAUGAUCCGCUUGCGCCCGUUGGCACAGCUGCUCGCCAACCCUGAGCGAGCUCACGAGACCCCCGGGGGAGACCGGUUCCUCCUAAAUAACAUGAAACUGCAGGCCGCGCUGGAGGUGGAACUCCUUAGGAGGCUGAAGCGCGCGGAGAUGGAGUCCCUGAGGACGCAGAAGCGCGCGGAGAUUCUGCGAGCGCGGAGGAAAUUAGUGUAUACAUAGAGCUCCUCAUCACGCCGCAGGUUGGAUAGCUCCUGAAUAAUGUACAAAGUUUGUUUAUAUUUGUAAAUAUAUUUGUAAAUAAAUUUGUAAUUAUAUAUAUUUGUAUAUAAUAUGCUCAAAGAAAUUAAGAUUGUUUUAAUCCUUCCUUAAAUCCUUAAAUUAUAAAAAAUGAACAAUUUAAAACAGAAGUUGCUCAUUAGACAAAAUUUAAUCAAAUAGCGAAAAUAAUUUUGAAAAUGAAGGUGCCAUCUAUAUUUUUAAUCGCGUAGACCAAAAGGAAUUUCAAAUUUCGUCACUUAUUUCUUCAGGUCUCAUUUAUUUCAUCCACCGGGUGCAAUUUUAAGGUAAAUUGUACGCCUAUUGAGCAAGAGCAGCAAACCUUGUCUUGCUAUUGCGACAUUUUUGCGAGUGUGUGAGUCUGUGAAUAGGUGCUGGGUGCUUCUUUUCCCCCAAAUUCACGUCUUUGAUUCCGCGCGUCCUGCCCAGUAACGCCAUCUGCCAGUCUAUUUCCUGUUUCUACUUUAGCCACGCCCAGCCACGCCCACCCGUUGUUUCUGUUUACAAACUUCAGCAGAUCGGCUAGCCGCGGCAAACAAUCACAUCAUCAGAACGAAAAUUAAUCUUUUUUUUAGGUUUAAAGUGAAUUCACCAAUCACCAAUCGCGUUCAGUUGAUGGAAUGAAAAAUUCUGGAUAAAUUCUUCGUGCAGAAAGAAAACAAACCUUCGUAGGAGCUUAAAAAUAAAGCAAAAAGAGCAAGCGAGAGGCGCAGUCCAGACAGAGACGAUGAGCGGCGCCGAGAUCGAGAGAGGAGAGACAGGGAAGAAGCCUCAACCAGCAGGGCAAGAAGGAUACAGUUCGCCACCUGAGAAGCGACAGUACAUCAUUUGGACGCACAAGAAGUUUGACAUUGGAUUGUCUACGUCAAAUUGACCUCCGAGAACAAAGUUGGGCUGGACCUGAAUGCCAAAAUUCCUUUCACCUAUAUACGAAGUCAAUUUAAAUAGGCGACUGAGUACGAGGACCGAUUCGACAAGUACUUGGGCCCUAUAUAACUUCUUCCAGCACAGAGACAUCGGCCUGGAGUACAACUGAUAUUUGCAGUAAGUUCAGACCUUGGAGAGUGACCCUGAGUUCAGGGAAAAAGCUGAAGUGGCUGACAUCAGGACGGGAAAAUCGCGUCUGAACUAGAGUUUGUGAACCACAACAUCCGAUCCAAGUUGGGACGAACUCAAGAGAACUGAGAUGGAGAGAUUGCGUCAUUUGGCCAUCAAAGAAUACGAGCUGAAGCAGGCGGAGAAGUAGGACAAAAUGAAAGGACCCAACGCACGGAGAUUGGAGAUGGGGAUAAAAACGAAAUCGGCCACGAAAAUAAAGCUGCCUCACCAUCUGGACCACAUCAACCCUCACAGAUUUAAAAUCGAGGAUCUAAGGAAACACUCAAUGUUCAAGGACGGCGCCGCAACCACAUAUUCCAAAAAUAUAUGACGAGAGUUACUUUUAUUAAAUAUGGCUAUGUUUGCCUUUACUUCUGUUGUUAUAAGUUGAAAAUCAUUCGUUUGCAACGUAGUGUAUAAAAAUAUUACAAUUAUUUAUUUUUAAACCCGUUUUUGAAAAUGAAAUGGAAAUUUCGACAAAAGCAAGAUUUUCCAGAAGGAGUCCUUAAACAAACUAAAAAAUUUUAAAGCCGUCUAAUUGAAAACCUAUUCAGCACCAAAAAUUGUUAUGAAAAAUUCGACUACGCUGCGAAUUUAGAAUGUCUAAUCUUAUGAUCUUCAAUACAAAUGUCUGAUAUUCUGUAAAAGCGCAAAAAAAGGGUUUUCGCGAUGCAGUGUAUUUUCUUGAAAAAUGCGGGUUAUUUUGAACCCUCUCUGCUAUCUUCUGUAGAGUUCAAUGCUUGCAAGAGCAUUACACAGUAUGAAUGGCAGCCUCCCUUCUUUAUAUUGCUCUGAACAUAUGUUUCUUGAAUCACUCAAAAGCGGCAAAGUUGUAAUAAUGAGAAAUAAAUUCGUUAAAUAUUCAAAAUUUGCCUGACGCUUGACAA